AGUGUGAAAGAUGCGAGCCAUAGCAUCUCGUAACAUGAAGGCCAUCCAGCUCCAUCCUCCCACUGCUGCUUGAACAAUAUGCUUAACACGUAGUGCCGCAGUCGCUGCUUGGAUUGAAUGUGUUCAUGCACAGAUUUUAUCAUCUUGUUACUCAAACGACUGAUGGCUUCUGACCCUGCCUGAAAAUUUCCUAAGAGGUAACAGUUCUAGGACACAGAGCUCUAUGGGCUAUGUUGAGGAAGCUGCUUACAGACGAAAUUGACAGCAUGAAGAAAGGUGUGGUCCUUACAAGUAUAGGGCCUAUAUUAAUGAAGUAGCCAGGCAUAGCUUCAGCCAGGAGACUGAAGCACCAGAUGCUGGAGGGAGUGGAGGAAGAAGUUUAAUUACCACAUACAGCUCUUCCAUAUGCAAGGUCUCUGGGGCAAAACUGUCAUUCUGUCUGAAGCCAGACCCUCAAUGUCAGACUAAGAGAGUCGGAUGGAGACUACAUCUUCUGUGUGUGUUGCAAUGGGAGGACUUCUCUCCACCGAGUUUAGUGAGGGGGUUCUUGAAGAGGACUGCCAGAAGCACUGGGGAAAGGCCACAAGGAAAAGGAAACCUCCAGCCGAGCCCUUUGGGUUGAGUGGAAGCUGGGUGAGGCCUGUGA
This 646-nucleotide long non-coding RNA is filed under the name Homo sapiens (human). RNAcentral describes it as "non-protein coding lnc-UPRT-6:8". The record is from RNAcentral. Lineage: Eukaryota; Metazoa; Chordata; Mammalia; Primates; Hominidae.